CUUAGAAAAGGAUCAGACUGUUACUGUAUUAUGUUUUGAUUCUCUCAUUAGCCAGUUGUGUAUCUGUGGGCCCAAUUGCUAAAUCCUAGGUAAUGCCAUUUACUGGAAGUUGUUUUUUUUUUUUUUUUAAUGACAGCAAAUGUAAGAUAUACUUAAAGCUUGUUAUAGAAUAUAGUGGUCUUAAAAGAUAGUGGUCUGCUCGCCUCUUUCUCAGAUUCUCCAAUAUAUAAAUAAUUGAUAUUGGAAAGUAUUGUGAUUCUUUUAACUCUGUUAACAUUUCUUUUUAAUUUUAAAUACACAAAAUUAAAAUUUUAUAAUGCUNNNCUGUCCCUUCCCUUUGUCUUCUAACCCACAAAUGACAUUAUUUUCUUAGGAGAAGCUUCUUUCUUGUCUCUCUUCCUGAGAUGUCUUCAACAAACCACUGAUGAUGGACAAAUACAAAACCAAACUCUCUUUCCCUAUACCUGUGGUCCUCAACUGCAGAACUGUUGGCAUGCAAGGUCAGAUGCCCAUCCAAAGGAAAACUGCCAAGCAAAAGAACUUCUUGCAAAACUCCUCAUAAAUUCUUAAAAGUCUCCUCCUAGUCAGGAGGUCUACCUAAAACAACAAUAAAAAAAGAUGGUAACAAUAACCCUGUAUGCGAGACAGCAAAAGAGACACAG
RNAcentral lists this long non-coding RNA (662 nucleotides) under Capra hircus (goat). Its description in RNAcentral is "lncRNA (ENSCHIG00010015901.1)". The record is from RNAcentral. Lineage: Eukaryota; Metazoa; Chordata; Mammalia; Artiodactyla; Bovidae.